CAACGCUGGCAGCACUGAAAAUUUAAACGGAGAAUCGAUCUACGAUACCCCCCAAUCCGACUCUAUGCGCACCGACUGACACAAUCCAUGCGCAAGAUCCGAUGCGUAUCGAAUGUCAGGAUAAAUGUCACUACGGCGAGAGAGUCAAGUAUUUAGCAAGUCAUGUGAACUAGUAAUCGUUCGAGAAGAAUCUACUCCGUGAAUUAAUAUUGAAUUAUCAACCCUUCUUUGUACCUUUCGAAACUAAAUUAGAUAGAAUUCAGUUCCUACCAUUGUUAACACAAUUCGUACCUCUCGGAUAAUCUGUGAAUCUACGGUCGCAAAUCACCACUGUUUGUUGGUAAGAUCCCGUAUCCCUGGGAAGAAUAGUUUGAACGCUGAAACCAAUCUGUUGGGGUCAAAAUACAAAGGAGACCAGUUUGUAAGUAACGAACCACAUAGUUUAUAUCUCCCAAUAACUAAUAAAAGCAUUUCCAGCUUAAAGAAUUCGGCACCGAAUAACAUAGUGCGAUUCUCUUGAGACCUCCGAAACAUCUACCCAACAGAAGCUUUAAGAAACUGCUUCGAUCACCAGGAGUAAGGAUGCCCGAAACGGAUCGGUUCGACUGCAAACUUUGCCGGAGGUCGAACAAUGUGGACGAUAUGGUCUUUUGCGCGGUGUACCAGGAGUGGUAUCACUAUCAGUGCGUGGGAGUGACGUCUGCGGUAGCCAACGAGAGCUGGAUGUGCGCACGUUGUUCGGCUUUGCCAUCGUCUACGCGGAUCGGCGAGCUGUUCGGAAGUGAUCCUGUAUUUCCAGCUACUGGCAUCAACGUUCCAUCACCUAGGACCACCGAACCACCGUCGGCCGUUGCUCCAACUUCCUCCGUGGUAUCA
Long non-coding RNA from Aedes albopictus (Asian tiger mosquito), 876 nucleotides. RefSeq lists it as uncharacterized. Lineage: Eukaryota; Metazoa; Arthropoda; Insecta; Diptera; Culicidae. The transcript has 3 exons. The record is from RefSeq and is a predicted model, not a curated record.